This 502-nucleotide ribosomal RNA is filed under the name uncultured bacterium. RNAcentral's name for it is "partial 16S ribosomal RNA". It matches the Rfam family "Bacterial small subunit ribosomal RNA", at positions 28 to 507 of the family's 1533-position model. The record is from RNAcentral.
GACGAACGCUGGCGGCGUGCCUAAUACAUGCAAGUCGAACGAACCGCGACUAAGUGCUUGCACUAAGUCAAGGUGAGUGGCGAACGGGUGAGUAACACGUGGGUAACCUACCUCAUAGUGGGGGAUAACAGUCGGAAACGACUGCUAAUACCGCAUAGGACAUAGGAUCACAUGAUCCAGUGAGGAAAGGUGGCGCAAGCUAUCGCUAAGAGAUGGACCCGCGGUGCAUUAGCUAGUUGGUAGGGUAAAGGCCUACCAAGGCGAUGAUGCAUAGCCGACCUGAGAGGGUGAUCGGCCACAUUGGGACUGAGACACGGCCCAAACUCCUACGGGAGGCAACAGUAGGGAAUCUUCCGCAAUGGACGCAAGUCUGACGGAGCAACGCCGCGUGAGUGAAGAAGGUCUUCGGAUCGUAAAGCUCUGUUGUUAGAGAAGAACAGCGCAUAGAGUAACUGCUAUGCGUGUGACGGUAUCUAACCAGAAAGCCACGGCUAACUACGUG